RNAcentral lists this ribosomal RNA (466 nucleotides) under uncultured bacterium. RNAcentral's name for it is "partial 16S ribosomal RNA". It matches the Rfam family "Bacterial small subunit ribosomal RNA", at positions 28 to 523 of the family's 1533-position model. The record is from RNAcentral.
GACGAAUGUUGGCGGCGUGUCUAAGGCAUGCAAGUCGAGGGAUCGGCCCCGCAAGGGGUACGGACCGGCGUAAGGGGCAGUAAUGCAUGGGUACCUACCUUUGGGUUCGGGAUAGCCAUCAGAGAUGGUGGGUAAUACCGGAUGACGUCGUGAGACCAAAGAUUUAUCGCCCUUAGAGGGGCCCAUGUGAUAUUAGCUAGUUGGUGGGGUAACGGCUCACCAAGGCGAAGAUGUCUAGCGGGUGUGAGAGCACGACCCGCGCCACUCGCACUGAGACACUGGCGAGACACCUACGGGUGGCUGCAGUCGAGGAUCUUCGGCAAUGGGCGCAAGCCUGACCGAGCGAUGCCGCGUGAGCGAUGAAGGCCUUCGGGUUGUAAAGCUCUUUAGUGGGGGAGAAAAGCCGAAAGGUGUGAUCUAUCCCAAAAAUAAGCUCGGGCUAAGUUCGUGCCAGCCGCCGCCGUAA